AUUGAACGCUGGCGGCGGGCCUAACACAUGCAAGUCGAACGAGUGGCGGACGGGUGAGUGAUGUCUUGGAAACUGCCCGAUGGAGGGGGAUAACGACUGGAACCGGUAGCUAAUACCGCAUACCAUCGGUUCUGCACAGGUGGGAUUAGCUAGUCGGUGGGAUAAAGUCUCACCUAGGCGACGAUCCCUAGCUGGUCUGAGAGGAUGAACAGCCACACUGGAACUGAGACACGGGCCAGACUCCUACGGGAGGCAGCAGUGGGGAAUAUUGCACAAUGGGCGCAAGCCUGAUGCAGCAAUGCCGCGUGGAUGAAGAAGGCCUUCGGGUUGUAAAGUACGUUGAGCGGGGAGGCGUUACCCGAAGAAGAAGCAACGGCUAACUCCGUGCCAGCAGCCGCGGUAAUAC
This 406-nucleotide ribosomal RNA is filed under the name uncultured bacterium. RNAcentral's name for it is "partial 16S ribosomal RNA". It matches the Rfam family "Bacterial small subunit ribosomal RNA", at positions 30 to 526 of the family's 1533-position model. The record is from RNAcentral.